This is a long non-coding RNA of Etheostoma spectabile (orangethroat darter), 112 nucleotides long. RefSeq lists it as uncharacterized. NCBI's taxonomy places the organism in Eukaryota, Metazoa, Chordata, Actinopteri, Perciformes, Percidae. The record is from RefSeq and is a predicted model, not a curated record. The transcript is spliced from 3 exons.
GUGAAGAGUAACUAUGCCUGUUGUGGAAUGGCUUUGAAUGACGACCAAAAACUCUUGUCUUUUACUGCGACCAUUUACUGUUCAAUAUGUUGCAGUUUUACAAUCAACAAAG